GUCUGAGAAAGGCUACAGUACCAUUCCCGUCAAGGUGUUUUCAGAGGGUAGAAGUAGGCAUACGAAGAAAAAAAGCAUUGGGGGGUGGAAACUAAAUACCUCUGGUUUUUAAACCGCUGUAAUUCUACCAACAAAGAGAAGGGGUCCGAGACUGUUUUAGCUGAACUGAAAUGCGUUUUUAAUCAAAUACAUUCGUUUUGGAUUUUAAACCAGCGUGUUUUUUUUUCAUGCAAGUUACGCUCUGAGUCUGGGUAAAUCCUGCUUCUUGCGCUUCAACCAUCCAGAGGAGGCCAGCCGUAUGAACAGCAUGCUGCCUCUGAAGACCCCUGUCUCACCCCUGGGCUACAGCACAGUCUCCACCCACCACGUCUGUGACCUCACCCACGUCGAUGUGGUCGGCCUAUCAGGAACAGGCUAGGCGCUUCUACGGCUCUGAUCGUCCUCCUCUCUCUGGCAAAGCUGCCGCCCCUCACUCCCCCUCUCGGCGCUCUGACCCCCCUUCCUCCCGAACCUCCAUGACCCGGAAACAAUCAUACCAAUCACAGGACAGCCUGCUCAUCUCCCCUGGCAAUGGGCGACGCCCACUAAACCCAAACUCCUCCCCCCUGUUGUCGAUGCGGAACUGUGGAGGUUCCUCUAACUCAGUGGCCGGUGGUGAUAGCCUCUCCUCUCCUCCACCCUCAUCCCUCUUUCCAACUAGUGGAGCAGCCAGCAUGCCCUCCAGUCCCCGCCUGGGACUACGAAGCCACGGCAACCAUGAGCCGGUGCCUAGCAACCGAACCAGGAAGUACUCUGCAGGUUCUAUAGGCGGCAUAAUGGAAAGUCACAGCUGCUCACUGCCCCGCCUCUGCCCCUCAUCACCUCGUUCCCAUGACAACGGAGCCCUGGCCCUGUUUUCCCUCCCCCUGACCUCUAAUCCUCUACGCAACUCCUCUCACAACAAUAGCCAAAACCAUACCACAAACAACAACUACAAUCAUAACCAAAUCACUAACUUCACCUACAGCCAGGCUCAAAACAUGAACCGGAACCAAGGAGAGGGGGUGGAAUCCAUCUCUCUCUCCAUCCCUGAAUCUCCCACCCAGGCCCCUCCAGACGUGACCUCACCGUCCCUAUCAGGGGGCUCUUCCAGCCCCGGUGUGGCCAAGAUACUCAGCGUCACCUCCACCAGCUCCACCUCCAGCCUUCAGGAGCCAAAGAGGUCAGCCAGCCGAGGAGCCUCCCCUGGACCAGAGCUCUUUCUGGGGGAGAGGCGGAGAGAGCACAGGGGGGGAAGACUGGAGCCUGUGCUAGGAUUAGAGGAACGAAGGCAGU
Oncorhynchus tshawytscha (Chinook salmon) is the source of this 1314-nucleotide long non-coding RNA. Lineage: Eukaryota; Metazoa; Chordata; Actinopteri; Salmoniformes; Salmonidae. The record is from Ensembl.